GGGGAAUAUUGGACAAUGGGCGCAAGCCUGAUCCAGCAAUGCCGCGUGAGUGAUGAAGGCCUUAGGGUUGUAAAGCUCUUUUACCCGGGAAGAUAAUGACUGUACCGGGAGAAUAAGCCCCGGCUAACUCCGUGCCAGCAGCCGCGGUAAUACGGAGGGGGCUAGCGUUGUUCGGAAUUACUGGGCGUAAAGCGCACGUAGGCGGCUUUGUAAGUUAGAGGUGAAAGCCCGGGGCUCAACCCCGGAAUUGCCUUUAAGACUGCAUCGCUUGAACGUCGGAGAGGUGAGUGGAAUUCCGAGUGUAGAGGUGAAAUUCGUAGAUAUUCGGAAGAACACCAGUGGCGAAGGCGGCUCACUGGACGACUGUUGACGCUGAGGUGCGAAAGCGUGGGGAGCAAACAGGA
Molecule: ribosomal RNA, 404 nt
Filed under: uncultured Sphingomonas sp.
Lineage: Bacteria; Pseudomonadati; Pseudomonadota; Alphaproteobacteria; Sphingomonadales; Sphingomonadaceae
Description: bacterial SSU rRNA
Rfam family: Bacterial small subunit ribosomal RNA
Source: RNAcentral